Molecule: long non-coding RNA, 506 nt
Filed under: Gossypium barbadense (sea-island cotton)
Lineage: Eukaryota; Viridiplantae; Streptophyta; Magnoliopsida; Malvales; Malvaceae
Description: long non-coding RNA (GBAR_LNC016273)
Source: RNAcentral
AUUUCUAGUGAAACUGAGCUGAUACAAUAACUACAUCAUAAUCUAACACUAUGCUCCAGCACCAGCAAUUUCCAUUGGAUUUAAGGGAAUCUAAACUAUAUACACAGUACAUUGCAACAAAUAGUAACUUCAACAACACAGAUGUGUAUAAAAACAAGGCUAUUCAAUAGAAUAGGGUACCACAAAAGAGACUAACAGGCAAUGAUUAAAACAAAAACUUACACAUACUUUAACAACUAAUGAUGUAGUUUAACCAAAAUAAAUUGGGAGUAAAAAAGUACAUGGAUACAGCCAUGGGUUAUGUCAAAACUCAAAACAGCACACCAUAUUCCUUUGUUUCAGACAAAAGGGCCAGUCAGCUCUUUUACUUGUUAUUUCGCACGCUAAGCACAAUAAACUCCCAACUCCAACAACAACAAUGAUCUUCGUUUUCUUUCCCUUCUUCCUUAACUAGCGGCCCUUAUCUAUCACUUUUCAGGUUUGGUCUUUCCUGCCUACUUCUUUCU